AUGUUGACCAUCGACGAGUUUGAGGAAGCCUGGAAGUUCCUCAUUGAUACGUAUAACCUCAAGACACAUACUUACAUGACACAAAAGUACGAGAUCCGUCACAAAUGGGCAAAACAUUACUUCAAAGGUGUGUUUUGUGCAAAAAAGACAAGUACUCAACGGAGUGAAAGUGCAAAUCACAUGUUGAAGAACUAUGUUCCAUCGGGGUGCCCUAUGCACAUAUUGAUGAGGAAAUACAUGCUUCUACAGUUUGACAGGGAAGCGGAAGAAAACUACGAGGAGAAGCGGACGAGAAUUGUAAUAAUUUUUAUCUUGCGAUGGCAAUUUGUGGCUUGGUUUCAUGCUGUGCAAUACAAUGUCUAA
Molecule: ribosomal RNA, 363 nt
Filed under: Triticum aestivum (bread wheat)
Lineage: Eukaryota; Viridiplantae; Streptophyta; Magnoliopsida; Poales; Poaceae
Description: partial small subunit ribosomal RNA
Source: RNAcentral